This 363-nucleotide long non-coding RNA is filed under the name Numida meleagris (helmeted guineafowl). Its description in RNAcentral is "lncRNA (ENSNMEG00000011999.1)". Lineage: Eukaryota; Metazoa; Chordata; Aves; Galliformes; Numididae. The record is from RNAcentral.
AUGGGGCUGCUUCAUCCUAUCAAGGAACGCAGGUUCCUACAAAAAGCGGAGAUGAGGAUGGGAUGUGCAACAACUUUGCAUGUGAAGACUCAUCCAUUGCUGUACUUCAGUAGUUCUGAUAGUUGUCAAGGAGUUCAGGCCUUUAAAACAGAAAACAACCAUGGGGACAAGAAGAGCAAUGAUCAGGAAUAACAUAUGCUGGCUAUGCCUGGCAUGUGCCACAACUCACAGUCACAAAUAGCUUGUAUGGCUGAGAGCAAGCCAAAGUCUCUGUUAGCCUCACUUCCUGCAUAGGUGUAAAUUUUUCCUUCUGGAGAUCCCUAGUUUUUCCCCGGAGUUAUCUGUGAAAAAUGGAUAUAAUCA